GUGGCUGUGGUGAAGUGGUUAACACGGCGGAUUGUGGCUCCGUUAUCCGAGGGUUCGAGUCCCUUCAGUCACCCCA
RNAcentral lists this transfer RNA (76 nucleotides) under Dendrosporobacter quercicolus. RNAcentral describes it as "tRNA_His_GTG". It matches the Rfam family "tRNA". From Rfam's summary of the family: Transfer RNA (tRNA) molecules are approximately 80 nucleotides in length. The record is from RNAcentral. Lineage: Bacteria; Bacillati; Bacillota; Negativicutes; Selenomonadales; Sporomusaceae. RNAcentral also lists the same sequence under 1 other name.